GGUGGCCCGGCGCGGCGGGGGCUUCGCACCGCUGCGGCUGGUGCUCGCCGGGGUGGCGAUCGGCCAGUUCCUGUCCGGGUUCACCA
Molecule: transfer RNA, 86 nt
Filed under: Streptomyces capoamus
Lineage: Bacteria; Bacillati; Actinomycetota; Actinomycetes; Kitasatosporales; Streptomycetaceae
Also listed under: 1 other name
Description: tRNA-Arg
Source: RNAcentral